Maniola jurtina (meadow brown) is the source of this 76-nucleotide long non-coding RNA. RefSeq lists it as uncharacterized. NCBI's taxonomy places the organism in Eukaryota, Metazoa, Arthropoda, Insecta, Lepidoptera, Nymphalidae. The record is from RefSeq and is a predicted model, not a curated record. The transcript has 3 exons.
GACGCUUAGUAAAAUAUGGUCCAGUUGGCACUUGGCACCCUUUGGGACGGAACCCUAAAAAUUUAAAAAUGCAAGU